AAUACCUCGCAAGAGGAGUGACGGUACGGGUAUAAGAAGCCCCGGCUAACUACGUGCCAGCAGCCGCGGUGAGACGUGGGGGGCCAGCGUUGUUCGGAAUUACUGGGUGUAAAGGGUCAGUAGGCGGUGUGGCAAGUCGGGAGUGAAAUCUCUGGGCUCAACCCAGAGACUGCUUCCGAAACUGCUGUGCUAGAGUGUNNNAGAGGCGCGUGGAAUUGCAGGUGUAGCGGUGAAAUGCGUAGAUAUCUGCAGGAACAUCCGUGGCGAAAGCGGNNNGCUGGACCACAACUGACGCUGAAUGACGAAAGCUAGGGGAGCAAACAGGAUUAGAUACCCUGGUAGUCCUAGCCCUAAACGAUCAGGACUUGGGGUGCCGCACGUUCGUGCGUCGUCCCGGAGCUAACGCGUUAAGU
RNAcentral lists this ribosomal RNA (413 nucleotides) under uncultured bacterium. Its description in RNAcentral is "bacterial SSU rRNA". It matches the Rfam family "Bacterial small subunit ribosomal RNA", at positions 449 to 865 of the family's 1533-position model. The record is from RNAcentral.